AACGAACGCUGGCGGCGUGGAUAAGACAUGCAAGUCGAACGGUCAUUACAGGGUAGCAAUAUUCUGUAGUGAUAGUGGCGUAAGGGUGCGUAACACGUGGGCAAUUUGCCGUGAAGUUGGGGAUAACUCCGAGAAAUCGGAGCUAAUACCGAAUGUGGCUUCCGGGAGGCAUCUCCUGGCAGCUAAAGUUGGGGACCGUAAGGCCUGACGCUUCACGAUGAGCCCGCGGCCUAUCAGCUAGUUGGUGAGGUAACGGCCCACCAAGGCUAAGACGGGUAGCUGGUCUGAGAGGACGACCAGCCACACUGGAACUGAGACACGGUCCAGACACCUACGGGUGGCUG
This 344-nucleotide ribosomal RNA is filed under the name uncultured Verrucomicrobiota bacterium. RNAcentral's name for it is "bacterial SSU rRNA". It matches the Rfam family "Bacterial small subunit ribosomal RNA", at positions 29 to 351 of the family's 1533-position model. The record is from RNAcentral. Lineage: Bacteria; Pseudomonadati; Verrucomicrobiota.